Molecule: long non-coding RNA, 5189 nt
Organism: Ictalurus punctatus (channel catfish)
Lineage: Eukaryota; Metazoa; Chordata; Actinopteri; Siluriformes; Ictaluridae
Source: Ensembl
GGUUUAACACACGUUUGUGUACAGAGUGUGAGGUGGGGGUUUAACACGUUUGUGUACAGAGUGUGAGGUGGGGGUUUAACACACGUUUGUGGGGGUUUAACACAUUUGUGUACAGAGUGUGAGGUGGGGUUUAACACGUUUGUGUACAGAGUGUGAGGUGGGGGUUUAACACGUUUGUGUACAGAGUGUGAGGUGGGGGUUUAACACGUUUGUAAAAGUGUUGCUGGCUGUAACACGACUCUCACUGUCACUGAGAUUCACUGCUGAUGAAGACUGAAACUUUUACACCCACCAAUGCACUUCCUCAUUAUGGGUCACACCCACACUAAUAUUGUCUUUAUACCACUAUCUCUGGUUAACACACACACACACACACACACACACACACACACACACAUGCACACACACACAAGAAACCAAACAUGAAUGAAAAUGAUUUAAAAUCGUGAUGGCGUCUACAGUCAGGUCUGUGAGUAAUGAAUUUUCGUAGUGGGAUAAGAAAUGAAGGAAUCGAGCUGUGAUUGAAGUGUAGACUUUCAGCUUUAAUUCAAGGAGUUCAACAUAAAUAUUGCAUCAACAAUUGAGGCGUUAUGGGCAUUUUUUUACAGGCUCAAAAGUAAUUGGACAGGCUAACAUAAUCAUAAAUAUUAGAACUAUUUUUAAUACUUGAAUGCAAAUCUGUUGCAGUCAUUGACCGAUUGAAGUCUGAAAGCCAUGGACAUCGUCAAAUGUUGAGUUUGAGAUGCUUUACCAGGUCUUUACUGCAGCUGCCUUCAGUUGCUGCUUGUUUGUGGGUUUUUCUGCCUGUAGUUUUGUCUUCAGUAAGUGAAAAGCAGCUCAAGGGGGUGAGGUCAGGUGAUUGACGCUGCCAUUUAAGAACAUACCAUUUCUUUGCCUUAAGAAGCUCUUGGGAUUCUUUCGCAGUACGUUUCGGGAGGUCGUUUUCCAUCUGUACUGUGAAGCGCCGUCCUGUUUCAGUUUUGCAGGAUUCGACUGAAUCUGAGCAGAACGUAUAUCUCGAUACACUACAGAAUUCAUCCUGCUCCUUCUAUCAGCACUCACAUCAUCAGUAAACACCACUGACCCAGUUCCACUGGCAGCAGGGUCUGAAAUUCAGUUUUUCCUCCACCUGCCACAGUGGCUGGUAAAUAUUCAUUUUUACUGUUUGAUAUGAACAAAAAGUUAUUUUUUUACAUUAGCUAAUCUGACCCUCCAAUAAACUAUUAUCUGUGUGCGGGUCGACUGGCUAUUUGUAUUAAAAUUUUAGAAAUUUUAGCAAUAAGGCAUGUAAUGAUUCACACGUUCAGGUUAAGUCAGAGAAUUUCACUGUGCUGAAAUACAUAUGUGAUCAAUAAAAGCUUCUUCCUCUUCUUCAGCUAUCGAAUGCAAAUUCAACUCCAGGCCUUUUAUCUCCUUAAUUUGUCAUGGAAUAACGAGGAAACAGGCCACACCUGGCCAUGAAACACCUGGCCAUGGAACACCUGGCCAUGGAACAUCAGUCAAUUGUCCAAUUACUUUUCAGUCUGUAAAAAUGGAGGGACUCUGUAAAAAAUGCUGUAAUUCUUAAAUGGUUAAUGUAAUAUUUUUGCUGAACCCCUUGAAUUAAAUCUGUAAGUCUACACUUCAAUCACAUCUCGACUGCUUCAUUUCAAAUGUGUACACAGGCAAAAUCAUGAAAAUUGCAUCACUGUCCAAAUACUUAUGGACCUGACUGUAAAUGCAUCAGAAUGCUGCAGUUUCAUUAGAAGUAAGAUAUGUGCAGACUCGGGAGACCAGGAGGCAGGUUUUAAUAAAAUAGAUGGUUUAUUAAGACAACCUGGGCGUUCUAUAGUCUAAACAAAAAUCAGACAAAACAAGCUUUUAUACUGGUGUGUGUGUGUGUGUGUGUGUGUGUGUGUGUGAGAAAGAGGCCCACACAGAUAAUGCAGAUGGUGAAGGUAGGAGAAAAACAUGUACAAGGACAGAACAUCAUGACCCAAGGCACGUGUUCAUGAGUGAAGUGAAGUUACAGAAAUGAAUUUAAUUAAACUGUUCUUAAAAUUAAUUAAAUAAUCCCACAACAUAGUUAUAGCGUCACAAUAACAUUUUGUCAGUAGCUGAAUUUGCAGCGCUCUACACUGCUCUAGUGGAAUAACACCCCGACUGCACUCAGAUGAGAGAGUACAGUUUCUCUUCUUUCUGAAUCUCUUUGUACACCGUAAGAGCAGGAGCGAAUGCUUUGAAAAUAAAAUCUGUACACUUAUCUAUAGGCACUUGAGAUAUAUUAUAUGGAAUCUCCUGUUCGUCAGGUUCUUUAGGACCUAAGAGUAUGGCUCUCUUAAUCUUACACACAAACAUUUGGUAAUGGACCGUGGUCCUAGUUUUGACGGAGGUAUUGUCAUCGGUGAUGAAGAUAAUCUGGCUCUCGGGAGUUAAGUAUUUAUACACCAUGACAUUUUCAGCAGUAAAGCAUGGAUAAUCGCUGUGUUCUGCCAUGUUUAUAAUUGAGAUCUGGUCAAAUAUGUUCUUUAAGUCCUCUUCACGGUUAUUACAUUGUCUCAGUGCCCAGUCACGAAGCCGUUUAUCCUUUUCUUCUUUCUUCUUUUCCUUCUGGUAUUUUGAGUUUGCCCUCUUUUUUGAAGUUUCGAUCCGAUCUUUCACAUCUCCGUUUUUAGCUAGUAUGGCUGUGUCUUUAUUUAGCAUCGAGCUCUCUGUGCCAUUGCUUUCCGUAUGCUCUGAUGCGGAACCUGGACUGUUCUUCUGCAGCUGCGUUGAAAGAAAAGGCCCAGGGUUAACCUGCAUAUUUUCUUGCUCAUUUUGCUGCAUGUGCAUGUUCCCACAUCUGCCUUCUAGUGGGAUUUUGCUUUUAAUGACUGACUCAUUUUGGUGCAGCGAUGCGGAAUGCAUCAGAACAUUUGAUCUUUGAGGUUCCUCCUCCAUCUCGUCAAUGUGUGCACCCUGAAAGUCCGUGCUUCCAAGUCCAUCUUUUAGUGGUGUUUCAUUUUUGGCGAUUGACUGAUUUUGGUGCAGAGACACAUCCUCAUGCCUUGGGUAAUUUGGAACAGAUGAUCUUUGAGGUUCAUCAUCCAUCUCAUCAACUUGUAUUUCCUGCAAAUCCAUGCUUCCAAGUUCAACAUCUAGUGGCGUCUCUUUCUUUGUGAUUCGCUCAUUUUGUUGCAGAGAUUCAUCUUCAUGCCUCACGCUAUUUGGAACAUAUGAUCUUUGAGAUCGCUCUUCCAUCUCAUCAAUGUGUGUAUUCUGCAUGUUCACAGGUUCUUGUGAUGGUGCAUCAGCAUUGACCUCAGGGUCCAUUUGGAUGAAUGAUCCACCAAGGAGCUUUUCAGGGGUUUUGAACUCACUCUCUUUGUCUUUAUUUUCAUGAAUCAUAAUAUCCACGUCUCCAGUGUAUCUGCAAUCUUCAUCUGGCAAUCCGUCAUCAUUUUGUGGUAAAUAGUUGAAACUGACUGCAGAGUAGCUAUUAUUAAGACUUGAGUUUAAUGAAGAUCCAACUCCACUGCUGCUUAAAUCGGUCAUCGCCUCUAUGCACUCAUUAUAAUCAAUGGAGCUUUGAGCUCUGUUUCCUGAUGAGGCAGAGGCACGUUUCUUAAACCACAUGUCAUAUGUCAGUUUAGGAAAUUUUGCGUUCUUUGUUGUGUUGAGAAAUCUUUCAAGUUCCUUAUUUUUCCUGAUAUCAUCAAUAUUGGACGCAUUGAAGCAUAAACUAUUUCUUGGUUCUUUAAGCUUUAAUUCUUUUCUCAAAGCUGCCAUGCCUUCAUCACCAAGUUUUCUCUCCAAGUCACUGAUCAUCUUUUGGCUGAUUUCUGGUUUCGACACCCAUUCUUCCAGUUUGGCGAAGGUGGAUAUCGUCCGGAGAUCUCUUUCAGAUUCUGAUGAAGAUGAUAAAUAAAGUCUCAUUAUCAUUAAGACUAUACACAUUAAGCAAAAUUUUCAUCUGCCUUUACAACAAUUUAUAAAUUUAAUAAAUUGAAAACUUUCAAAAUAUUAACUAUCUGUUGCCGUUUCUUACCAGAAAUCCAACUUGUAAACUUACCGGGAAAUCCUGUAAGAUUAUUAUCUGGUUCAUCCUGACGCCUGAGUCUGGCUCGUUUUUCUGUACAUUUAAAGAUUAAAACAAAAUAUAUAUAUAUAAAAAAAUCAUGAAACAUCUAAAUGACAGAAGUACCAUCUAAAACAGCAUGAGACACAAAGGGCUGUAUUCAGAGUUCAGUUAAGUGAUUUAUUACUAAAAUUGUGCACAUCAGUAUCGAGACCUCAGACUUAAUUGAUAUUCAGCAGUUAAUGUUAGGGGCGGAGUUUGACUAAAAUGUGUCGCAUGUGAUUUUUUCCUUGGAUUUUAUUUCUUGCAUGUUAUCAGCUCAAAUGAGGGGAACUACAUAUCCUGAAUCUUCUGUUUUAGUUAUUUAACAUAGUUCCAGUGCAUAUGACCAUGUCAGCGCCGGUAAAAGAGAACUACAUCCCACCAGCCACUGCAAAUCACAUGACCGUGUCAAGUACCAUUCCUGAUCACUCCCACCUGUUUUGUGGUUCACCGAACUAGCCCUAUUUCAGUUCAGUGAUUUCUGUUUAUUUCCCAAGGAAAUAUUUUGCUGUGUAUUGUAAGCAAACAUUCGAUCUUCAAUGAAACACUGCCGAUUAAUAAAGGUGAUACACUAUCAAAUGACACGCAAUUGAUAUUUUAUAGUAAUUUUCACAAUUGAAAUUAACAACUGCCCCCCCAAAAAAACAAACAAACAAACAAACAAAAAAAACAGGUCAGUCACAUGGAAAAAGUAAAACAAACAAACAAAAAUUUCCAUGGGGUGUACUUAUUUUUUUCACAUGACUGUAUGUGCUGCUGAGUAAUGAGUGUGAAAGCCAUUUUGUUCAAUGAAACCUGUGAUUAUUGUGUUAAUUACAACUAGGACAUGCAACAAUAUAUUGGCAAUAUGCUAGACUCCUAUUACAUUUAUUUUUGGGCUUUAUUGCUGAUUGAGUUUUAAGGUGGUGGUAAAGAUACUAUUAAAAAAAAAUCACAUUCAGUACAUUUCUACUACAGAACAAUCAGAUACGCUUGGUAGUGUAAACUGUUUGCAAGUGAUUUUAAUAUUCUGAAUGAAGAGUUAGACAGCUUCAUAACCGGACUCUAAAUAUGAGGAACUUUUCCCACAUAAAUAUUGGGUAAAUAUUUUAGAUGUAAAUUCUCUUGUGAC